RNAcentral lists this ribosomal RNA (323 nucleotides) under Salmonella enterica. RNAcentral describes it as "partial 23S ribosomal RNA". It matches the Rfam family "Bacterial large subunit ribosomal RNA", at positions 200 to 561 of the family's 2925-position model. Lineage: Bacteria; Pseudomonadati; Pseudomonadota; Gammaproteobacteria; Enterobacterales; Enterobacteriaceae. The record is from RNAcentral. RNAcentral also lists the same sequence under 6 other names.
AUCUAAGUACCCCGAGGAAAAGAAAUCAACCGAGAUUCCCCCAGUAGCGGCGAGCGAACGGGGAGGAGCCCAGAGCCUGAAUCAGCAUGUGUGUUAGUGGAAGCGUCUGGAAAGGCGCGCGAUACAGGGUGACAGCCCCGUACACAAAAGCGCAUGUGCUGUGAGCUCGAUGAGUAGGGCGGGACACGUGGUAUCCUGUCUGAAUAUGGGGGGACCAUCCUCCAAGGCUAAAUACUCCUGACUGACCGAUAGUGAACCAGUACCGUGAGGGAAAGGCGAAAAGAACCCCGGCGAGGGGAGUGAAAAAGAACCUGAAACCGUGU